CCUACGGGAGGCAGCAGUGGGGAAUAUUGGACAAUGGGGGCAACCCUGAUCCAGCCAUGCCGCGUGUGUGAAGAAGGCCCUCGGGUUGUAAAGCACUUUCAGUGAGGAAGAACGCCUGGUGGUUAAUACCCAUCAGGAAAGACAUCACUCACAGAAGAAGCACCGGCUAACUCCGUGCCAGCAGCCGCGGUAAUACGGAGGGUGCGAGCGUUAAUCGGAAUUACUGGGCGUAAAGCGCGCGUAGGUGGCUUGAUAAGCCGGUUGUGAAAGCCCCGGGCUCAACCUGGGAACGGCAUCCGGAACUGUCAAGCUAGAGUGCAGGAGAGGAAGGUAGAAUUCCCGGUGUAGCGGUGAAAUGCGUAGAGAUCCGGAGGAAUACCAGUGGCGAAGGCGGCCUUCUGGACUGACACUGACACUGAGGUGCGAAAGCGUGGGUAGCAAACAGGAUUAGAUACCCUGGUAGUC
Molecule: ribosomal RNA, 465 nt
Filed under: Vreelandella stevensii
Lineage: Bacteria; Pseudomonadati; Pseudomonadota; Gammaproteobacteria; Oceanospirillales; Halomonadaceae
Description: partial 16S ribosomal RNA
Rfam family: Bacterial small subunit ribosomal RNA
Source: RNAcentral